UGCGCGAAGGGAAUCUGACAAAUAAAGUGCUGAUCUGGAACAAAAAGAAGCUCGGAAUCUGUCGGCGACGGAUCUUCUACGGUGGCAGUGGAGGCUGUGUCUGUGUAGGGGCUGUGGUGGCUGCGCCGCUGAGGGGCUGCGAGGCUGUGGGGGCUGCGGGGAGCUGUGAGGGCUGAUGCGGGGGCUGCGUGGCUGCAGUGGCGGCAAAGACUGCGGUGGCUGUGGGCGGCGGGGUGCAGGGCGAAGAGUUAGAGGAUGAGAG
This is a non-coding RNA of Arachis ipaensis, 262 nucleotides long. Lineage: Eukaryota; Viridiplantae; Streptophyta; Magnoliopsida; Fabales; Fabaceae. The record is from RefSeq and is a predicted model, not a curated record.